RNAcentral lists this ribosomal RNA (464 nucleotides) under uncultured bacterium. RNAcentral describes it as "bacterial SSU rRNA". It matches the Rfam family "Bacterial small subunit ribosomal RNA", at positions 33 to 507 of the family's 1533-position model. The record is from RNAcentral.
CGAGGAGACGCUGGCGGCGUGCCUAACACAUGCAAGUCGAACGAGGUCCAUCCUUCGGGAGAAGACCUAGUGGCGAACGGGUGAGUAACACGUGAAGAACCUGCCCCGAAGACCGGGAUAACCCUCCGAAAGGAGAGCUAAUACCGGAUACCCCCACCGAACCGCAUGGUUUGGUGAGGAAAUGGAUUCCGCUUCGGGAGGGCUUCGCGGCCUAUCAGCUAGUUGGUGGGGUAACGGCCCACCAAGGCAUCGACGGGUAGCUGGUCUGAGAGGACGAUCAGCCACACUGGGACUGAGACACGGCCCAGACUCCUACGGGAGGCAGCAGUGGGGAAUCUUGCGCAAUGGGCGAAAGCCUGACGCAGCAACGCCGCGUGGGGGAUGAAGGCUCUCGGGUUGUAAACCCCUUUCAGCAGGGACGAAUCAAGACGGUACCUGCAGAAGAAGCCCCGGCUAACUACGUG